This 312-nucleotide long non-coding RNA is filed under the name Elaeis guineensis (African oil palm). RNAcentral describes it as "long non-coding RNA (EGUI_LNC009429)". Lineage: Eukaryota; Viridiplantae; Streptophyta; Magnoliopsida; Arecales; Arecaceae. The record is from RNAcentral.
GAAAUUCAAAUUCAAAUUUUAAAUGCAUCAGAAAUGACAAUCAUAUUGGUAUAUCUUGUGAUUGAGGCUCGUAUGAAUCAAAUAUGCUAUCAUGCCCUCUUAAGCUAAACGAGUGAGCAUGAAUGUUGAGCUUAACUUGCAAACAAUAUAGGCAGCUAGGAUGUAGACUUUUGUGAAGAUGUCAACCAUUUGAUCAAUUAUAGAAAUAAAUUGGACGUCCAGUUCUUUAUAGAAAAAACUUUUCAUAGAUAAAGUGAUAAUCUAGCUUAAUAUACUUAGUACGAAAAUGAAAAAUUGGAUUAAAGAUGAUGG